CAGAAAAUAGUUUACAAAAAAUACUAGUUUUGGGAACUGGCGACGGGAAGUUUUCUCUUUUCUGA
Molecule: transfer RNA, 65 nt
Filed under: Typhlatya sp. JR2016
Lineage: Eukaryota; Metazoa; Arthropoda; Malacostraca; Decapoda; Atyidae
Description: tRNA-Pro
Source: RNAcentral